Molecule: ribosomal RNA, 528 nt
Filed under: Triticum aestivum (bread wheat)
Lineage: Eukaryota; Viridiplantae; Streptophyta; Magnoliopsida; Poales; Poaceae
Description: partial small subunit ribosomal RNA
Source: RNAcentral
AUGGCAUGGUGGAAGCUCUGUAUUCCAAAAAGUGAAGGAGGUAUUGGUUUUAGAGACCUAUAUUCUUUUAGUCUAGCUAUGUUGGAUAAACAAUGCUGGAGACUCGUCACUGAUCCAGAUUCUUUGGUGGCGAGAGUUUUAAAAGCUAAAUAUUAUCCUAAUGGAAGCAUUCUUUGCUACUCCAAAAAUGGGUCAUCUUUUACUUGGCAAAGUAUCCUUAAGGGAUUGGAAAAUUUUAAGAAAGGGUAUAUUUGGAGAAUUGGGACUAGGGAAGAAGUGAAUAUAUGGAAGGAUCCUUGGAUCCCAUCUAGUUCUGAUUCGAAGGUUAUCACUCCAUGGGGCCAAACAGUGUUGACACGAGUGUGUGAGUUAAUUGAUCCUAUGACAAUCACUUGGGAUGAGAACUUACUACAACAUAUUUUCUAUCCUGUAGAUGUGCGCAGAAUACUACAGAUUCCUACCAAUCUCCACGCCUUUGAUGAUUUUAUUGCGUGGCAACCAAAUUAGGCUGGUAUUUUCUUUAUCUGA